UGACCUCGGAUCAGGUAGGGAUACC
RNAcentral lists this ribosomal RNA (25 nucleotides) under Alternaria alternata. RNAcentral describes it as "partial 28S ribosomal RNA". The record is from RNAcentral. Lineage: Eukaryota; Fungi; Ascomycota; Dothideomycetes; Pleosporales; Pleosporaceae. RNAcentral also lists the same sequence under 8 other names.